UAAGUCUUGAUCCUUCCCUGUCCAGUGAUAACUAUGAGCAGCUAAUUGUAGCAAUCACAGCCUUACAAGGACAAGGUAACCAGGGCUCAAACACCUCAGGGAUGAAGGUCUGGAUCAUCCUACUGCGAAAACUGCCUAGGCUUAGAGUGAGAGGAAUCUAGAAUGGAUAGAAAGGGGGAAGGGUGUGAUGGAUUUCAAUUAUGACAUCAGAUCCAGCUGUGAAAACAGGAACUGCAGCUUAUUCUGCUUUCUACAAGACUCAAGAUAAGAUGGAAUGCUGGUGGAUUCUGCUAAAUUUUGUCAGCUUUUCCUGAGGUUAAAAGGAUGGCAGAUUCAACACUGGCUGCCACCUUUAGAAGCAGCCAUCUUGGAUGAUGAGGCAACUUGAUGAUGGCAACUAUGUACUAAGGAUAGAGGAGAAGAAAGAUAGAAAGAGCCUGCAUCCCUGAUGAUGUUGAAAGACUGCAUCCUAGCCAUGGACUGCCUCCUUCUGCAGUUCAUAUUAUCUCUGUGAACCUUGAAGUCACCAGCAGAGAAACCCCAAGGAAGGGCUGAGGUUGUUCCAGUUUGGGUGAAGGUCUAUGUGGCCAGGAAGAUGGGACACUGGGAUUGGCCCAGCCUGGGUCACACAGCCACCUUGGUGGUGGUGUUGGUAGGAGGCAGAGUCAAUCGAGUGUGGUACCAGAAUGGGGCAAGGAAGUGAGUGCUGGAAAACAAAGACUGGAGCUCUCAUAUGCCUCUUAUUUGCCUCUUGAGGAUAUUGAGAAAAUACACGUCUGCUAAACUCCUUGAAAUUUUUUGUACCAGUAAUAUAAGGAAUCGCUAUCAUCAGCAUUCUCAUCCCAGUCUUUGCGGCCUUUUUCUUUCCUAUCAGACUUACACUAGAUUUAGAUCUCACUUCUUUCAGUGCUGAGGCAGCUCCUGGAAGGCCCUGCAAAGCUAAAACCCCAAUCGCCCCUCCCACCCCACCACUACACUGGUGACAGAAUAUGUGAUGCAGAGACAAGGCAGCAACAUCCACUACUGAAACAGCCCCUUUCAGGGGGAAAAAGCAUCAAUGUCAAAACUGCCAAUAAAGGGUCUACAGAAAAAACACAAAAUCAUCCCCAAACUAAACAGCUGCCUGGCGUGGGGUAUUGCACUGCAAAAUUUCCCAGCUGUGUGUGUGUAUUAAUCAUGUCUUUUUAUUUUCCAUACUCUGAUGCUUUGACAUGUUGGGGCCCUGCUGACCCUGGAGGGACUGCCCCUCCCAGGGUUAGCUAAUUCCAAGAGAUAGCACCAACUCGCCGAGGAGCCUGCUUUUCAAAUGCCAACCAACCAAUGCAGAGCCCACACCCCCAACCACCGCCUCUACUGGAUUCUCACUCUCUGGGCCACUAUCCACCUACCCUAGUCACUCCAAAACCAGAUGCAAAAUUAAAGAAGCUAAGAAUCCACUCAAGGUCACACAGCUGGUAAGUGACACAGCCAGAUUCAAAGCCAGGUCUGACUCCAAUGCCUGUGCUGAUUGCACCAUGCCAGUGAGUCUCAAAGCAGGACCGACAUCACCUGGAACUUGUUAGAAACACAAAUUCUGGGCCCCACCCCAGACCCAUCGAAUCAGGAACUCCAAGCUCUGAUAUGGUUGUCAGGAAUGUGGUGGAAACAAGCGAGAUUCUUGGAUAAAUAGCAUCUUCAGGGGUUAUUGCAGAAGGAAUGAAAUGAGAUAUUAUCGAAGAAAAGACUUCAUUGAAAGACUUUAAUUGCUAUGGUUUCCCUUGACCUAUGUUGAUACAUAAAUAUUUCACUUUUUACUACAUAUAACUAUGGAGAGUAUUUCAUUUCAUAGAAGAUCGUUAUGUUUUGUGCACUAGAUGUCAGUAGAGCUCUAUGGUUCAGCUAGUACAGCUACCCGACUGAGAUGAUCUGUGCUUGGAAAAUAAACUCCUUGUGCUUUUGCUUAUUUUGCGUUUCAUACCGAAUGGCCAUGAAUUUGUGUCCUCGCCUCACACCCACCCUCAUUUCCAUCCCACUAGAAUUCUGCUUUCAGCACAAUUUUCUG
This 2041-nucleotide long non-coding RNA is filed under the name Equus caballus (horse). Its description in RNAcentral is "lncRNA (ENSECAG00000045255.1)". Lineage: Eukaryota; Metazoa; Chordata; Mammalia; Perissodactyla; Equidae. The record is from RNAcentral.